UUGCAGAAGAGCUUGUUUGACCGGUAACUUAAAUGCUUAAUGUAGUCUGGGUGGACUGGAGUAUGAUAUGCUUUUGCAUGAAGGGAGUUCCUUAACCUUGACUUUGAAUUAGUUAUAUUAAUUUUCUCCUUACACCUAGAUCUUGGGCAUCAUCGGAUAAUCUUGCUCAUGGGUAUCUUGAUAUUAUGAUUGAAAAGUUUGUUAUGCUAGCUUUUCCCUACUGUAGCCGUUCACGUGCAAUCAUGAAAGUAAAUUUAUUAUUUGUUCUGUUGCAGAUAAGCUUGUCCUGUAGGACAGAGUUUUGCCCAUAUCGAAGAGUUGGUCCUUGUUUUUGCCAUGCUUAUUGUUUGACACCUUCAUGUUCCUGAUUACCCAUUUUUUUCACUAGUUCUAUUCCUUUGGGUUAAUCUCUUAAUAAUUCUUUCAACUUGCUUCACCAGAAUAUGUUUUGAUCAGGAAGGCAAUGCAGAGCCUCACUUCCGCUGAUCCUCUGGUAGUCAAAGCAUGUGGGAAACAACAUGGAUGCUAUAUUUCUAAGUGGUUUUGCAGCUGAUAUGCUGUGCCAUGUUUCUUAUCUAUGUUCCAAAAUCUUAUUAAACCUCAUUAAUUUCUGUUGUACCAGUAACCUAGUGACUUCCUUUCAUUUGUUUGAUCAGUACCAAGGUUUUAAAUACCGGUGGGACAGUGGGGACCUUGAGCACUCAAGACAGUCAGGGUGGAUUGGAGCAUGAUAUGUAUUCUUAAUGGAGGGGGUUCUUCAACCUUGAUUGUAGAAUUUGUUCUAUUACAUUUUUUUUCCUUUCAUGCCUACAGUGCAUGUCAUAGGCUAGUUUCUUAUUUCUGAUGUUGCAAAAGAGCUUGUUUGACCAGUUACUUGAAUGCUUAAUGUAGUCUGGGUGGACUGGAGUAUGAUAUGCUUUUGCAUGAAGGGAGUUUCUUAACCUUGACUUUGAAUUAGUUAUAUUAAUUUUCUCCUUACACCUAGAAGAUCUUGGGCAUCGUCGGAUAAUCUUGCUCAUAGGUCUCUUGAUAUUAUGAUUGAAAAGUUUGUUAUGCUAGCUUUUCCCUAGUGUAGCCGUUCACGUGCAAUCAUGAAAGUAAAUUUAUUAUUUGUUCUGUUUCAGAUGAGCUUGUCCUGUAUGACAGAGUUUUGCCCAUAUCAAAAAGCUGGUCAUUGUUUUUGCCAUACUUAUUGUUUGACACCUUCAUGUUCUUGAUUACCCUUUUUUUUCACUAGUUCUAUUCCUUUGGGUUGAUCUCUUAAUAAUUCUUUCAACUUGCUUCACCAGAAUAUGUUUUGAUCAGGAAGGCAAUGCAGAGCCUCACUUCUGCUGAUACUCUAGGAGUCAAAGCAUGUUGGGAACAACAUGGAUGCUAUGUUUCUAAGUGGUUUUGCAGCUGAUAUGCUGUACUAUGUUUCUUAUCUAUGCUCCAAAAUCUUAUUAAAUCUCAUUAGUUCCUAUUUGACCAAUAACCUAGUGACUUCCUUUCAUUUGUUUGAUCAAUACCAAGGUUUUUUAUACCGGUGGGACAGUGGGGAC
This 1541-nucleotide long non-coding RNA is filed under the name Elaeis guineensis (African oil palm). Its description in RNAcentral is "long non-coding RNA (EGUI_LNC013248)". The record is from RNAcentral. Lineage: Eukaryota; Viridiplantae; Streptophyta; Magnoliopsida; Arecales; Arecaceae.